This is a transfer RNA of 111 nucleotides. It matches the Rfam family "tRNA". Rfam says of the family: Transfer RNA (tRNA) molecules are approximately 80 nucleotides in length.
GGCCGCCUGGCGUAAUGGCAACGCGUCUGACUACGACGGGCGUCCCCCACGAGAUGCUUACGUAAUGUGCGAUCGAUCAGGAGAUUGCAGGUUCGACCCCUGCGGUGGUCA